Pelobates cultripes (western spadefoot toad) is the source of this 239-nucleotide non-coding RNA. Lineage: Eukaryota; Metazoa; Chordata; Amphibia; Anura; Pelobatidae. The record is from the annotation of a GenBank genome assembly.
UUCCCAAUGUUUUAUAGUCCAAAACGAGUUUCGCCAUAUUAUGACUUUCUCAGUUGAUAGAUAACAAGCUUCUUGUGUCACAAUCCUUAUAUACCUUGUAUUAAUUUAUAAAUUGCUGGCAUUUGGGCGUCUUUUGGAGCGUCAUGUUGAGUCUCUACGGUUAUGCACGUUGCGUUCGCAUCCUUAUGUUACUACCCUUUUCUUCAUAGAAUGCAUCGUGUUCCACUGCUUGUGUCAUU